This is a non-coding RNA of Salvelinus sp. IW2-2015, 142 nucleotides long. NCBI's taxonomy places the organism in Eukaryota, Metazoa, Chordata, Actinopteri, Salmoniformes, Salmonidae. The record is from RefSeq and is a predicted model, not a curated record.
GAGCUACACACUGGAGGUGGUCGGGGCUGGAAUGACGUGUCUUGUGGAGAGCUGAGGUUCUAUGUGUGUUCUAUGGAGCCCAGAUCUGGUUUAGCAGUAAUGCCAAGUCAGAAGCAAACACACGAGAGAGGUAGGAAUGUCU